Urocitellus parryii (Arctic ground squirrel) is the source of this 583-nucleotide long non-coding RNA. RefSeq lists it as uncharacterized. The record is from RefSeq and is a predicted model, not a curated record. Lineage: Eukaryota; Metazoa; Chordata; Mammalia; Rodentia; Sciuridae.
CCCCGCGCCGCGCGCUCCCCAGGGACCGUGCCCCGGAACCACGACCACUAACGGAACCAGCCCACCGGCGGCGGCAGCAGCCGCUCGGACUACGGACGGCGACGCGCGGCCGGGGCGCCAGGAGGGCGGGGGUUCCCCGGAGGAGCUGGCCGCCCCAGCGCCCCAUUGGGCGCCGCUCCAAACGUGCCCGAGUGGUGACAGGAAUAAAAGUGGGUCACAAGGCCUAGCGGGUCCCGGGCGAAAGCCCUCUCGGCACCAGGCUCGCUUUCCCGGACGCACGGCCGCUGGAACCGGCUGGAACCCGGUCACCCUCCGGUCACCGGGGCCGGCCGCGCACCCCAAUCCCGCCCCUGCCCCGCAGGUUGCGAAGAUUCCUGGACCACCAGUGACCCUGGAGGCGCGCGUCUUCGAGUGCUUCUUACUGGCUGGUGGUUGGUUUGGGGAGACAGGACCGUGGGCACCUUCAGCCGCAGCAGUGGCAAGAGUGGAUCUGAAUCUGGAAGAAUGGAGGACUGGAGCCAGCUUUUCAUGCACGAUUAAUGAGAAAGUACCCUGGGGCGGGGGCGGGGGUGGUGCAGAUUCA